GCUCCAAUAGCGUAUAUUAAUGUUGUUGCAGUUAAAAAAGCUCGUAGUUGGAUUUCUGAUAGAGUUGACCGGCCAUAGCCUCACGGCAUGUGCUGUGUGUCUAACUUUGUCAUCCUUGGAGUAAGCGUGUUGGGCAUUCAUUUGUCUGGCUCGGGAGCUCCAUCGUUUACUGUGAAAAAAUUAGAGUGUUUAAAGCAGGC
This 200-nucleotide ribosomal RNA is filed under the name uncultured eukaryote. RNAcentral's name for it is "partial 18S ribosomal RNA". It matches the Rfam family "Eukaryotic small subunit ribosomal RNA", at positions 588 to 785 of the family's 1831-position model. The record is from RNAcentral.